RNAcentral lists this ribosomal RNA (253 nucleotides) under uncultured bacterium. RNAcentral describes it as "partial 16S ribosomal RNA". It matches the Rfam family "Bacterial small subunit ribosomal RNA", at positions 524 to 776 of the family's 1533-position model. The record is from RNAcentral.
UACAGAGGGGGCAAGCGUUGUUCGGAAUUACUGGGCGUAAAGGGCGCGUAGGCGGCCUGUUUAGUCGCACGUGAAAUCCCCGGGCUCAACCCGGGAACUGCGUCCGAAACUGGCAGGCUCGAAUCCGGGAGAGGGAUGCGGAAUUCCAGGUGUAGCGGUGAAAUGCGUAGAUAUCUGGAGGAACAUCGGUGGCGAAGGCGGCAUCCUGGACCGGUAUUGACGCUGAGGCGCGAAAGCCAGGGGAGCAAACGGG